GUAUGCAAAUGUGGGGUCGGACAGACGGGCAGACAUAGACCAUUACCAUAUCCCAUUCACUUUAUGGCGACGUAUAUAUGUAAAGUCCAGGUCACAAAUCAACAUUCAAAUGUCAUGAACAACACGGGCAUCCAUCUCGGUAGAACCAUCAGUUAUAGCAAAACUAUACUAGUUUCAGGACUUUGAAUGGCCCAAUCUAGGUGUUUGAUAAGAAUAAUAACAUUUUCACAAUUUACAAAAAGGGAUGGAGUUCUGACUGAAAUUGAUUGCGUGUUCUAGAUAAUUUUUUAUCAACGUUUGAUGCAAAGGUGAAAAAACAUAUCAUCCGAGUUCUUUUAGCAAGCCCUUCCUGAUGGUUCUUUUUUGCUUUAGACCUCGUAUAUAUAUGGCAUUAGUUCGUAAUUAGAUAAUUUCUUAUCGGAGUCACAGGUUGAUAAGCAGUAUACACUGAAAAGUUUUGUAUAAACUUUCGAUACAGUCGCAUAGUUGUAAAUAAGAUGGCUUCUCUCUAUAUAUAUUGCUUACAGUUUAUUUUUCUUUCACUUCUGUCUUCGAGGAUUUCCGGCUCUGUCAUUAAACAAACGCAUGUGAGUACGGAAAAUGUAACAGCACAGUUCUGUCCCUACAUGUGCACCAUUGCAGACCACACUUUCUGCUACCCACCACCAUGUCCUCCACCGCCUUGCGGGGAUCCAGCUAAAUACCAACCAAUGGAUUGCUGUGACUGGUGCCCUAAUGGUGAAAACUGUCCGGCUUCAGAUGGAAGCAUGAUACCGCUUCACCACUGGAAAAUUGUGCAAGGCAAAAACUGCACGUGCAAAUAUGCUCCGACAUAUCUGGUGUGCGUUUGAGAUGUGCUGUUUGGACUGAGUUUAUUUGCACAAACUGUCUAUUGUAAACAUUUGUCAUCUUUUCAUCACCUAAUUUGUUAUUAACUACAUUUACGUGUAUGUAAAACUCAUGAUAAAAGUCUGUAGAUAGUUACCAAGUGCAUGCUAUUAAAAGUGAAAGUUGUUCCUACAAAGGAUAUGUUAAUAUGUAGAGCAACUUGAUACGUUUCAGCGCAUGCGCACGUGUUAGCUUUCUCGUUCGCUCGUACAUCGCGUGCAGAUGCGAAGAAAACAUAUUCUCCACGUCCCUGCUUAAAUCGUUAGCUGAACAUUGGGUCUGCAAUGGCGAUAUCGUUGUCAGUACUCUUGGAUUAUUUUGUUAUAGAGCUCUAAAAUACCAGCACUUGAUUAGCUGAUUUUGAGCAUGGUCUUAAAAUGGCAAAAAUGCAUUUAGAGGCUGGCUUUGAUAUCUGUGGAGCUGACCAAUGUGGAAUACUAGUAGGUCAACAUUCAUUGCAAAUUAUCAUAAAGGUUAUCAGCUUAAACAUAUAUAUUCUUAUCUUGGUAACCUACAAACACGUCCUAAAACCCAGCCUUUGGAACAUAAAGUAAAAACUAUGGCAAAACACAUCACUAGUGUAUUAGUGUGCUUCUUUUACAUGGAACUUUCUUUGUUUUUAUUGUCAACCGCUGUUGAAGAAAGCGAAUUACCGACAGUAAGUACAAAGAAUAUAACAGCGCACUACUGUCCGUUCCCAUGCACUGUGGGUAAUCAGACAUUAUGUUACCCUCCUCCAUGUCCACCACCGGGUUGCAUUGAUCCGGCAAAGUACAAACCCACUGACUGCUGCGACUACUGUCCAAAUGGUCCGAACUGCAGAGGUCCUAAUGGGCGUCCUAUACGAUGGAACCAUUGGAAAAUAGUUGACGGGCAAAACUGUACAUGUAAAGAUGUAGCGCACGAUGCUACGUGUGUGUGAAAUAUAUUAAAUACUUACCUGUUAUUCUUUGACCAAAUAAAUACGCUCUAGCAAACAAC
Molecule: long non-coding RNA, 1869 nt
Organism: Mercenaria mercenaria
Lineage: Eukaryota; Metazoa; Mollusca; Bivalvia; Venerida; Veneridae
Exons: 3
Source: RefSeq, a predicted model, not a curated record